This 472-nucleotide ribosomal RNA is filed under the name uncultured bacterium. Its description in RNAcentral is "partial 16S ribosomal RNA". It matches the Rfam family "Bacterial small subunit ribosomal RNA", at positions 28 to 507 of the family's 1533-position model. The record is from RNAcentral.
GACGAACGCUGGCGGCGUGCUUAACACAUGCAAGUCGAACGAUGAAACCGGAGCUUGCUCUGGGGGAUUAGUGGCGAACGGGUGAGUAACACGUGAGUAACCUGCCCUGGACUCUGGGAUAAGCGUUGGAAACGACGUCUAAUACCGGAUAGGACCUUGGAUCGCACGAUCUGGGGUGGAAAGUUUUUUCGGUCUGGGAUGGACUCGCGGCCUAUCAGCUUGUUGGUGAGGUAAUGGCUCACCAAGGAUUCGACGGGUAGCCUGCCUGAGAGGGUGACCGGCCACACUGGGACUGAGAAACGGACCAGACUCCUGCGGGAGGCAGCAGUGGGGAAUAUGGCACAAUGAGCGAAAGCCUGAUGCAGCAGCGCGGCGUGCGGGAUGACGGCCUUCGGGUUGUAAACCGCUUUAAGUAGGGAAGAAGGGGUUCGGCUUGACGGUACCUGCAGAAAAAGGACCGGCUAACUACGUG